Molecule: RNA transcript, 2489 nt
Organism: Homalodisca vitripennis (glassy-winged sharpshooter)
Lineage: Eukaryota; Metazoa; Arthropoda; Insecta; Hemiptera; Cicadellidae
Exons: 3
Source: RefSeq, a predicted model, not a curated record
UCAUUUUCUCAUAGAAAACGAACAAUAAUCAUACCAAUGGAAAACUUGAACAAAUAUUAUGUAAAAGAACUAGAUAUCUUUUUAAUGCAACCAGGUAUGCUAUAUAAUUGUAACUGAGCAUUAAGUAUCCACUAAUGUGCAAGAAUUAUAGUUUUGAAUGUAAUGUUUCCAUGAAAUUUACAAUCAAGUAUUCAGCAAAGUUGUACAAAUAAUUAAAGAAUAUACUUAUCUGUGCCUCUGAAUGAUUGAGUCAUGUGCUAUUUAAUCUAUCUGCUCUCUUUAGCUAAUCAUUAGCAAUAAAGUUGAUUAUGUAGGAUCAUACUGCAAGAUUAUAUACACCGUAAAGAUUAUCCAUUCUUUGUAUUGGAUUAGUUUUAUAUGAUUGAAAAUCUUCUGUUCAGUUAUAGUGUGGUUUUAUUCUUAGUUUAUUGGACUUUUGUGUAGUAUGACACAAAAAUCAUCAUUACAAUGUGCCCAUUAUCAUUUUAUAGUAACAUUUGUGAUAUUUCUGUUGUCAAAAACCACUGCAGGUUUGUCACCAUUGUUUUCUUAUGUACAAAUGUAAAAAUAUAAAUUUUUGGCGCUUAUUCUGUUAAAGUAUGAAUAUAUUCUUCAUUAAAUGUACACAAAGGUAUGUUGUGCAGACAAGAGGAACUGGGGGUAAAGAUAACAAUUAAUUGCACCUCCAAAAUAGCUCCAUACUGCUGUGUACUGAAUGGCCGAAUGUCAUGCUGUUCUGAUGACCAGUAUAAUGCUGAGAAAAAUGGCCCUGGGAUGUUUAUUACAAUAUCGAUGGCUGUCUUCGUGGCUCUGCUGGUGUUAGGGGUGGCAACUUGGUGUUGGUUCAACCACAAGAAGCGAUUCAAGAAAACAAUCCAAAAUAAAGAAAAAAAUAAUAAUGUAAAUAUUUUAAGAUUUUAAUUGAAGAAUUUUAUAAAGAGCCAAAUAUGCACUUUUUUAUAUUACAAUACAAUAACAAGGAAUAUUUUCAAAAAGUAAGGAACAUCAACGCAAUAACGUAAAAAAUUAUUGUUUUUAUUCAAGCUUUUUAAUUUUAUAUAUCCUUACUUUUCAAAUGUAUUCAAUUAGCUUUUAGACUGAUAUAUUGUAUACCUUUUCACAUAUGCAAUACUAACACACUUAUUACAAAAAGGAAUAAUUUAUAAAUCAAGCUGUACAAGCUAGAAGAUAUAUUUGUACAUGUUGAAAAUGAGUUCACUAUAGUUUUUAUAGAAAAGCAAGUAAUAAAUUAGCAUUUACCAGCAAUGAUAAGUUCAUUGAAUUGGAUGCACAGUUAAUAUUAUAGUUGCUAACAGAAAUAAAAUUAGAUCAGUAUGUAACCCAACAUAAACACAUACUAAAAAUUAUUGGAAACUACAGAGGAGAGAAUAAAUUGUGCUGAAUCUUUGUUAUAUGAAUGAUUUAUUUCUAUUUUAUCAACAAAAGACAUAAGGUGUCUUUAUAAAUAAAACGUAACAAAACAUAAUUCUAUUUGUUUCACUAAAAAAGGGACAAAUUAUGAAAAAAACUGGAAAAAAACUUACACUGUAGAAAACGUACAGCGAUUUAAAUGCUAUUACAUUCUGAUAAUACUAAGCAAGACAGAACAACCAGAUUUAACUGAAACUAAAAACCAAGAAAACUUAAAUAAUUAUAUGAAAUGUAUAAAAGUGAUAUUGUAUAUAAAUCAACAAUCAACAUUACAAGAAAAUUAAAUACAAAUCAAAACGUGAUUAUAAAUUCGCCAAACGUCACGUUGCACUCCGUGUUUUGUGUAACAUUCAGUAUCAACAAUUUGUAACAAUAGGAGUCAAAUAAUAUAAUAAUAAUUACGAUAUCAUCAUCGCAUUAUGUCUGGUAUUGUACAGAAAGUUGACAAACAAAUGCAGUCUACCUGAAGUAUCGAAGAAAAUAAACAGUGUACAACAAUUCCAAUUUUAAACCUAUCCAGUUUCUAAGCUUAAAAUUUUCAAAAAUGAACAUUUGAUAAAUCUUUAAAAAUUGAACAAUUCAGGCUUUACAGGAUAAACUGUUGGCAGACAGAACACUGACUUUACAAUAACGCUCUAGUUAUAUUCGGUUGAACACAAGUAGGCAAACAGACAUUAGAGUAGUUAUAGACAAAGAGAUAGUUUCUAUAGAGUAUUCUCUAUGGUUCAUCAAGGUAGUGUCAUUUGAUUAGGGUAGAAGAAGCUGUUGACCUGAAUGAAGCAAACUAUUUCUGAACAACCUGUCCAAACAGAUCUGCUAAGAGACUAAAAAGAUUAAAGUAAUUUACUAACAUUCUACGUCAACGAACAAGGGUUCCCUGAUAUUGGUUUAUAUACAUUACAACAGGUUCUUCAGAAAUAAUUAUUAAAGUAAAGGGUUCCUGAUAAAAACAUAUACUCUCCUUGACAAUGCUCUGUUUAUUUAAAUGUUCAAAAUGUGAAAUCUAUUUAUCAUGUACUAACUUAAUAGUUUAAAUAAACGUAAAUUAAACCCCUGCA